AAGUCGUAACAAGGUUUCCGUAGGUGAACCUGCGGAAGGAUCAUUAUUGAAUGAAUGUAGAGUUGGUUGUAGCUGGUCUUCCCAAAGACAUGUGCACACCUUCUCUUUCAUCCACACACCCCUGUGCACUUGUUAGACGGAUGAUUGUUCCCUUUUAUUAGGGACGGUUUCCGUCUGCUAACACAUAAAACCAUAUUAUUAAAUUUGAAUGUAAUUGAUGUAACGCAUCUAAUACAAAGUUUCAACAACGGAUCUCUUGGCUCUC
This 265-nucleotide unclassified non-coding RNA is filed under the name air metagenome. Its description in RNAcentral is "partial contains small subunit ribosomal RNA, internal transcribed spacer 1, and 5.8S ribosomal RNA". The stretch from base 1 to 46 matches the Rfam family "Eukaryotic small subunit ribosomal RNA", at positions 1786 to 1831 of the family's 1831-position model. The record is from RNAcentral.